UGUACUGUAGCAAGUAUAAUAUUCGUUCGUAACCCAUACCUGGUCUAAUGCACUUCAGGAGAAAAUGAGCGAGUUCGAUAGUAAAGUAUAGCGUUCAUUUUUAAGUCUAUUAAUUUUACUUCAGAACAACAUCCGAUGAGCGAAGUUUAAGAUACUCUUGAUCAGCUCCAGAUGGAAGCUCCCGAAUCAAGCCAUAAAUUUCCUUAUUGUGAUAUCUUAAUCUAGUUUUGGGAUCUGUGUAAAUAGCCAGUAAUCCAGUAACAUCGCAAUAUUUCGGUUGAGGGAGGACACUAGGCGGUGCUUCUAUCGAUGAGUAAGAAAAUUUGCUUGGUUCAUUUUGUACUGGGUCAUUUUGAAUAAUUUGUCGUAGAUUCCGAUUUCGCCUAGGUUGUGCUUUAUAAUUGGGAUUUCGAAAUGGCCUUGCAAGUAAACUGAUGUCUAAACUAUCGACAGAACUGUUUUUUUCCAUGAAACUGAUAAUCUUGAUGAUUUGGCUAUGGCAAAUUGAAAGCCGCACUUCUUCUAUGUAUCGUUGUAUCCUUGACUACCAUUACUAAAGGUUCGUCUGAUGUCGUUAAUUCAGCUCAAGCCAUUAGUGAACGAGUAUUAACACGCCCUCCUUA
Schizosaccharomyces pombe (fission yeast) is the source of this 623-nucleotide non-coding RNA. The record is from the annotation of a GenBank genome assembly. Lineage: Eukaryota; Fungi; Ascomycota; Schizosaccharomycetes; Schizosaccharomycetales; Schizosaccharomycetaceae.